UACGUAGGUGGCGAGCGUUGUCCGGAUUUACUGGGCGUAAAGAGCGCGCAGGCGGUCGUGCAAGUCGCGUGUGAAAGCCCCCGGCUCAACUGGGGAGGGUCACGCGAUACUGUUCGACUCGAAGGCAGGAGAGGGAAGUGGAAUUCCCGGUGUAGUGGUGAAAUGCGUAGAUAUCGGGAGGAACACCAGUGGCGAAGGCGACUUCCUGGCCUGCUCUUGACGCUGAGGCGCGAAAGCUAGGGUAGCAAACGGG
This 253-nucleotide ribosomal RNA is filed under the name uncultured bacterium. RNAcentral describes it as "partial 16S ribosomal RNA". It matches the Rfam family "Bacterial small subunit ribosomal RNA", at positions 524 to 776 of the family's 1533-position model. The record is from RNAcentral.